This 280-nucleotide ribosomal RNA is filed under the name uncultured prokaryote. Its description in RNAcentral is "partial 16S ribosomal RNA". It matches the Rfam family "Bacterial small subunit ribosomal RNA", at positions 524 to 803 of the family's 1533-position model. The record is from RNAcentral.
UACGUAGGGGCUAGCGUUAUCCGGAAUUACUGGGUGUAAAGGGUGCGUAGGUGGUUUCUUAAGUCAGAGGUGAAAGGCUACGGCUCAACCGUAGUAAGCCUUUGAAACUGGGAAACUUGAGUGCAGGAGAGGAGAGUGGAAUUCCUAGUGUAGCGGUGAAAUGCGUAGAUAUUAGGAGGAACACCAGUUGCGAAGGCGGCUCUCUGGACUGUAACUGACACUGAGGCACGAAAGCGUGGGGAGCAAACAGGAUUAGAUACCCCGGUAGUCCCUGAGCGGG